AUUGAACGCUGGCGGCAGGCCUAACACAUGCAAGUCGAGCGGCAGCGGGAAAGUAGCUUGCUACUUUUGCCGGCGAGCGGCGGACGGGUGAGUAAUGCCUGGGGAUCUGCCCAGUCGAGGGGGAUAACUACUGGAAACGGUAGCUAAUACCGCAUACGCCCUACAGGGGAAAGCAGGGGACCUUCGGGCCUUGCGCGAUUGGAUGAACCCGGGGGGGAUUAGCUAGUUGGUGAGGUAACGGCUCACCAAGGCGACGAUCCCUAGCUGGUCUGAGAGGAUGAUCAGCCACACUGGAACUGAGACACGGUCCAGACUCCUACGGGAGGCAGCAGUGGGGAAUAUUGCACAAUGGGGGAAACCCUGAUGCAGCCAUGCCGCGUGUGUGAAGAAGGCCUUCGGGUUGUAAAGCACUUUCAGCGAGGAGGAAAGGUCAGUAGCUAAUAUCUGCUGGCUGUGACGUUACUCGCAGAAGAAGCACCGGCUAACUCCGUGCCAGCAGCCGCCGUAA
RNAcentral lists this ribosomal RNA (508 nucleotides) under uncultured bacterium. Its description in RNAcentral is "partial 16S ribosomal RNA". It matches the Rfam family "Bacterial small subunit ribosomal RNA", at positions 29 to 523 of the family's 1533-position model. The record is from RNAcentral.